UACGUAGGGGGCAAGCGUUGUCCGGAUUUAUUGGGCGUAAAGAGCGUGUAGGCGGUUCGGUAGGUCCGUUGUGAAAACUCGAGGCUCAACCUCGAGACGCCGAUGGAAACCAUCGAACUAGAGUCCGGAAGAGGAGAGUGGAAUUCCUGGUGUAGCGGUGAAAUUCGUAGAUAUUGGGAAGAACACCGGUGGCGAAGGCGGCGAGCUGGUCCAUUACUGGACGCUGAGGCGCGACAGCGUGGGGAGCAAACAGG
Molecule: ribosomal RNA, 254 nt
Filed under: uncultured bacterium
Lineage: Bacteria
Description: partial 16S ribosomal RNA
Rfam family: Bacterial small subunit ribosomal RNA
Source: RNAcentral